RNAcentral lists this transfer RNA (69 nucleotides) under Marmota monax (woodchuck). It matches the Rfam family "tRNA". Rfam says of the family: Transfer RNA (tRNA) molecules are approximately 80 nucleotides in length. Their secondary structure includes four short double-helical elements and three loops (D, anti-codon, and T loops). Further hydrogen bonds mediate the characteristic L-shaped molecular structure. tRNAs have two regions of fundamental functional importance: the anti-codon, which is responsible for specific mRNA codon recognition, and the 3' end, to which the tRNAs corresponding amino acid is attached (by aminoacyl-tRNA synthetases). tRNAs cope with the degeneracy of the genetic code in two manners: having more than one tRNA (with a specific anti-codon) for a particular amino acid; and 'wobble' base-pairing, i.e. permitting non-standard base-pairing at the 3rd anti-codon position. Lineage: Eukaryota; Metazoa; Chordata; Mammalia; Rodentia; Sciuridae. The record is from Rfam by way of RNAcentral.
GGAGUUGUGGCUCGGUGGUAGAGCGCUUGCCUAGCACGUGCGGGGCCCUGGGUUCGAUUCCCAGCACCA